RNAcentral lists this ribosomal RNA (494 nucleotides) under uncultured bacterium. Its description in RNAcentral is "partial 16S ribosomal RNA". It matches the Rfam family "Bacterial small subunit ribosomal RNA", at positions 28 to 523 of the family's 1533-position model. The record is from RNAcentral.
GACGAACGCUGGCGGCGUGCUUAACACAUGCAAGUCGAGCGAUGAAAGCCUUAUGAACUAUUCGUAGUGAUUGGGGCCGGAUUAGCGGCGGACGGGUGAGUAACGCGUGAGCAACCUGCCUUAAACAACGGGGUAGCCUCGGGAAACCGGGAUUAAUACCGUAUGAGACCCCGCCUUCACAUGAAGAAGAGGGUAAAGAUUUAUCUGUUUAAGAUGGGCUCGCGUCUGAUUAGCUAGGUGGUGAGAGAAAAGCCCACCAAGGCAACGAUCAGUAACCGGAUUGAGAGAGUGAACGGUCACAUUGGAACUGAGACACGGUCCAAACUCCUACGCGAGGCAGCAGUGGUGAACAUUGCACAAUUGGGGAACCCCUGAUGCAGCGACGCCGCGUGAGCGAUGAAGGAAUUCGUUUCGUAAAGCUCUGUCCAAGGGGAAGAUAAUGACAGUACCCUUGGAGGAAGCCCCGGCUAAAUACGUGCCAGCAGCCGCAGUAA